UAGGGAAUCUUCGGCAAUGGACGAAAGUCUGACCGAGCAACGCCGCGUGAGUGAAGAAGGUUUUCGGAUCGUAAAACUCUGUUGUUAGAGAAGAACAAGGACGUUAGUAACUGAACGUCCCCUGACGGUAUCUAACCAGAAAGCCACGGCUAACUACGUGCCAGCAGCCGCGGUAAUACGUAGGUGGCAAGCGUUGUCCGGAUUUAUUGGGCGUAAAGCGAGCGCAGGCGGUUUCUUAAGUCUGAUGUGAAAGCCCCCGGCUCAACCGGGGAGGGUCAUUGGAAACUGGGAGAAUUGAGUGCAGAAGAGGAGAGUGGAAUUCCAUGUGUAGCGGUGAAAUGCGUAAAUAUAUGGAGGAACACCAGUGGCGAAGGCGGCUCUCUGGUCUGUAACUGACGCUGAGGCUCGAAAGCGUGGGGAGCAAACAGG
This 429-nucleotide ribosomal RNA is filed under the name Chloroflexota bacterium. RNAcentral's name for it is "Chloroflexi bacterium partial 16S ribosomal RNA". It matches the Rfam family "Bacterial small subunit ribosomal RNA", at positions 355 to 776 of the family's 1533-position model. Lineage: Bacteria; Bacillati; Chloroflexota. The record is from RNAcentral.